Molecule: ribosomal RNA, 430 nt
Filed under: Pseudomonadota bacterium
Lineage: Bacteria; Pseudomonadati; Pseudomonadota
Description: Proteobacteria bacterium partial 16S ribosomal RNA
Rfam family: Bacterial small subunit ribosomal RNA
Source: RNAcentral
UGGGGAAUAUUGGACAAUGGGGGGAACCCUGAUCCAGCCAUGCCGCGUGUGUGAAGAAGGCCUUAUGGUUGUAAAGCACUUUAAGCGAGGAGGAGGGUACUGGUAUUAAUACUACCAGCUACUGGACGUUACUCGCAGAAUAAGCACCGGCUAACUCUGUGCCAGCAGCCGCGGUAAUACAGAGGGUGCGAGCGUUAAUCGGAUUUACUGGGCGUAAAGCGUGCGUAGGCGGCUAAUUGAGUCGGAUGUGAAAUCCCCGAGCUUAACUUGGGAAUUGCAUUCGAUACUGGUUAGCUAGAGUGUGGGAGAGGAUGGUAGAAUUCCAGGUGUAGCGGUGAAAUGCGUAGAGAUCUGGGGGAAUACCGAUGGCGAAGGCAGCCAUCUGGCCUAACACUGACGCUGAGGUACGAAAGCAUGGGGAGCAAACAGG